GCUGGCGGCGUGCUUAACACAUGCAAGUCGAACGAACCUUCGGGUUAGUGGCGGACGGGUGAGUAACGCGUGAGAAUCUGCCCUCAGGAGGGGGAUAACGGUUGGAAACGACCGCUAAUACCCCAUAUGCCUACUGGUGAAAUGAAUUUCGCCUGAGGAUGAGCUCGCGUCUGAUUAGCUUGUUGGUGAGGUAAUGGCUCACCAAGGCUUCGAUCAGUAGCUGGUCUGAGAGGAUGAUCAGCCACACUGGGACUGAGACACGGCCCAGACUCCUACGGGAGGCAGCAGUGGGGAAUUUUCCGCAAUGGGCGAAAGCCUGACGGAGCAACGCCGCGUGAGGGACGAAGGCCUCUGGGCUGUAAACCUCUUUUCUCAAGGAAGAAGAUAUGACGGUACUUGAGGAAUAAGCCACGGCUAAUUCCGUGCCAGCAGCCGCGGUAAUACGGGAGUGGCAAGCGUUAUCCGGAAUUAUUGGGCGUAAAGCGUCCGCAGGCGGCUUUUCAAGUCUGCUGUUAAAGCGUGGAGCUUAACUCCAUCAUGGCAGUGGAAACUGAAAGGCUUGAGUAUGGUAGGGGCAGAGGGAAUUCCCGGUGUAGCGGUGAAAUGCGUAGAUAUCGGGAAGAACACCAGUGGCGAAGGCGCUCUGCUGGGCCAUUACUGACGCUCAUGGACGAAAGCCAGGGGAGCGAAAGGGAUUAGAUACCCCUGUAGUCCUGGCCGUAAACGAUGAACACUAGGUGUCGGGGGAAUCGACCCCUUCGGUGUCGUAGCUAACGCGUUAAGUGUUCCGCCUGGGGAGUACGCACGC
Molecule: ribosomal RNA, 808 nt
Filed under: uncultured cyanobacterium
Lineage: Bacteria; Bacillati; Cyanobacteriota
Description: bacterial SSU rRNA
Rfam family: Bacterial small subunit ribosomal RNA
Source: RNAcentral